This 207-nucleotide ribosomal RNA is filed under the name uncultured bacterium. RNAcentral describes it as "partial 16S ribosomal RNA". It matches the Rfam family "Bacterial small subunit ribosomal RNA", at positions 1294 to 1500 of the family's 1533-position model. The record is from RNAcentral.
CGGAUUGCAGUCUGCAACUCGAGUGCAUGAAGCUGGAAUCGCUAGUAAUCGCGGAUCAGAAUGCCGCGGUGAAUACGUUCCCGGGUCUUGUACACACCGCCCGUCACACCAUGGGAGUCGGGAAUGCCCGAAGCCGGUGGCCCGAUCGAAAGAAGGGAGCCGUCGAAGGCAGGCCGGAUGACUGGGGUGAAGUCGUAACAAGGUAAC